CAUAAUCAUCAUUUUUAUAAUAUCAAUAUUAUAAUUCUGAUAUCUAUGAGGGCAUCAACGUAAAAAAAAUGCCACAGACCCGGCAGCAUCUCAGACCGUACAGGAGAUGGGACGAAGAAAAUGAGAACAUAAAGCUAUACGUUUUAUUACUACAAAAAGUGGUAAUUAACACACAUUGUUAUUCUACUGUCAGUAUUUUCAUUCAUGCUUUUAAGAACCUCGGCUCUGCUCUUCCUUUUGGAUCGGAACUGAAUAUAACAAGCGGAACAAUUUCACUCUCACAUCGGUUACAAUGGAAAUAUAUUUGUUUCGUUUUAUUUCAAAUGGUACUUCCCUUAGUAUUUUUUCAGUUCUGUUAAUAUUGUUGAAAUAUCGAUAGUUAUCUUACCAUUAUCUUGUAAGUAUUUAGGUAUUAUGGUAUUUAUUUCCCAUGCGCAUUCAUUCAUAGACCAGCUGAUUAUAUCGCCUCAUAAAAGGCACGUUGGCAACUACAUUUCGCUUCGGAUACAAACAGACAAGACUACUUGUUUGUUAUGGUACAUCAGCUGGUGAACUGUGGUUGGGACUUUUAAACUUAAAAGGCUAGAGACGAAAAAAAA
Molecule: non-coding RNA, 599 nt
Organism: Penaeus vannamei (Pacific white shrimp)
Lineage: Eukaryota; Metazoa; Arthropoda; Malacostraca; Decapoda; Penaeidae
Source: RefSeq, a predicted model, not a curated record